AUGUCAGGCCUUCCUGCUGCCGCCGCCGCCGCAUCCUGGCGCUCGACCCAUCGACCUUGGCUACUCACCGACUCAAAGUGCCACAUCGGCGACCACGACAAUGUGACCACCGCCCGCGCUGUUACAAGCCAAAAGAGCGACAUCAAGGUGACUUUCGAGCUCGCCGACCCGCCCGGCGUCUCUCACUGCUUCGUCCACUGCCCCGGCCUGGUGGAGAGCCACUGCGCCGGAGAUCCCAUGGUUCUAAGCUCGGCGGAUGUGUUUGUCCUUCUCGUCAUUCCAUUCACCGACAGCUCCACGCGCAAGGAGUACAACGAUUUCUUCGUCUACAGGGCAGGUCCAGGGGCUCCUACUCUCCGGCUUGUCCGCGCCCCCGGCCACAACCGUUAUCCCGACUAUGUCACGCUGGCCGGUGUUGUGCCCCUCGGCUGCGGCGAUCCUUACAACAUAGGCCACGCCGUGGUCUUCCCACAAUACACCAAUGUCCCGUACUACACCGACUCUACCAGCAAGAAGUACAAGUACAUCCUCAACGUGUAUCGCUCCGAUAUCUCUGGGUGGCCAUGGCACACCGAGGUGGCCAGCAUCGCCAUUGACACCAAGCACCACAAUCACGAGGUAAUAAUGCGGGACGAAGGCACCCGCGUGAUCUUCGCCGGUAGGGAAACACUCGGCUGGGUCAAUCAUUGGCAUGGCAUUCUUCUAUGCAACGUGCUCGACCACUAUCCGGUCAUGCGUUUCAUCCAAUGGCCCGUUCCGAUCUCUUGCGAUCUCAUGUCGCGGUUCGGAAUGGGAGUUGACAAUAUCUACGCACGGCCGUUCCGCGAUGUCGUUAUAAGUAAUGGCGUGAUCAGGUUCGUCGAAUUGAAAUCUUGUCGAUGUAGCCAUACCCACAAUGAGAAAGGGGUCAUUGGCCAAGGUUGGACGGUCACCACAUGGAACAGGGGGAUUUGCUCAAAGAAGUGGCACAAGAGCUUCACUCUCAAGGCCGACAACGUGCCUCUCACAGGUUUAAGUUACCCUAAGGUAUCGGGUGACAAGAGGUUGAGUUGGGACAAUGUGGUUCACGGUGGGCCCACUCUGAGCUUGUGUGACGACGAUAUUGUCUACAUCAUGGCUAGACUAGACAUCCGUCACCGGGUUGCAUGGAUGCUUGCCAUUAAUAUCAGAGAGGGAACACUAGAAGCGGUCGAGCAGUGUUCUGCUGAAAAGAUGAUGGGUCUUGAACCAACUUAUGUUCAGUGUGCCUUGUCCGACUACCUCAAGUAG
This 1269-nucleotide ribosomal RNA is filed under the name Triticum aestivum (bread wheat). Its description in RNAcentral is "partial small subunit ribosomal RNA". The record is from RNAcentral. Lineage: Eukaryota; Viridiplantae; Streptophyta; Magnoliopsida; Poales; Poaceae.